This 265-nucleotide ribosomal RNA is filed under the name uncultured prokaryote. Its description in RNAcentral is "partial 16S ribosomal RNA". It matches the Rfam family "Bacterial small subunit ribosomal RNA", at positions 524 to 788 of the family's 1533-position model. The record is from RNAcentral.
UACGUAGGUGGCAAGCGUUGUCCGGAUUUAUUGGGCGUAAAGGGAGCGCAGGCGGUGACUUAAGUCUGAUGUGAAAGCCCACGGCUCAACCGUGGAAGGUCAUUGGAAACUGGGUCACUUGAAUAUAGAAGAGGAAAGUGGAAUUCCAUGUGUAGCGGUGAAAUGCGUAGAUAUAUGGAGGAACACCAGUGGCAAAGGCGACUUUCUGGUCUAUUAUUGACGCUGAGGCUCGAAAGCGUGGGUAGCAAACAGGAUUAGAUACCCU